This 646-nucleotide ribosomal RNA is filed under the name Microbacterium sp. Z1-YC6842. Its description in RNAcentral is "bacterial SSU rRNA". It matches the Rfam family "Bacterial small subunit ribosomal RNA", at positions 124 to 780 of the family's 1533-position model. Lineage: Bacteria; Bacillati; Actinomycetota; Actinomycetes; Micrococcales; Microbacteriaceae. The record is from RNAcentral.
AUCAUGCCCCGUGAACUCUGGGAUAAGCGCUGGAAACGGCGUUCUAAUACCGGAUACGAGCUGCGAAGGCAUCUUCGGCAGCUGGAAAGAAUUUCGGUCAGGGAUGAGCUCGCGGCCUAUCAGCUAGUUGGUGAGGUAAUGGCUCACCAAGGCGUCGACGGGUAGCCGGCCUGAGAGGGUGACCGGCCACACUGGGACUGAGACACGGCCCAGACUCCUACGGGAGGCAGCAGUGGGGAAUAUUGCACAAUGGGCGCAAGCCUGAUGCAGCAACGCCGCGUGAGGGACGACGGCCUUCGGGUUGUAAACCUCUUUUAGCAGGGAAGAAGCGAAAGUGACGGUACCUGCAGAAAAAGCACCGGCUAACUACGUGCCAGCAGCCGCGGUAAUACGUAGGGUGCAAGCGUUAUCCGGAAUUAUUGGGCGUAAAGAGCUCGUAGGCGGUUUGUCGCGUCUGCUGUGAAAACCCGAGGCUCAACCUCGGGCCUGCAGUGGGUACGGGCAGACUAGAGUGCGGUAGGGGAGAUUGGAAUUCCUGGUGUAGCGGUGGAAUGCGCAGAUAUCAGGAGGAACACCGAUGGCGAAGGCAGAUCUCUGGGCCGUAACUGACGCUGAGGAGCGAAAGGGUGGGGAGCAAACAGGCUUA